GUGAGGAAUAUUGCGCAAUGGAGGCAACUCUGACGCAGCCAUGCCGCGUGCAGGAAGAAGGCGCUACGCGUUGUAAACUGCUUUUAACCGGGAAGAAACCCCAGGACGUAUCCUGGGUUGACGGUACCGGAGGAAUAAGCACCGGCUAACUUCGUGCCAGCAGCCGCGGUAAUACGAAGGGUGCAAGCGUUAUCCGGAUUCAUUGGGUUUAAAGGGUGCGUAGGCGGAGCGUUAAGUCAGUGGUGAAAUCCUGCAGCUUAACUGUAGACUUGCCAUUGAUACUGGCGCUCUUGAGUGCGCUUGAAGUGGGCGGAAUGUGCCGUGUAGCGGUGAAAUGCUUAGAUAUGGCACAGAACACCAAUUGCGAAGGCAGCUCACUAAGGCGAUACUGACGCUGAGGCACGAAAGCGUGGGGAUCGAACAGGAUUAGAAACCCCAGUAGUCC
RNAcentral lists this ribosomal RNA (445 nucleotides) under uncultured bacterium. Its description in RNAcentral is "partial 16S ribosomal RNA". It matches the Rfam family "Bacterial small subunit ribosomal RNA", at positions 354 to 796 of the family's 1533-position model. The record is from RNAcentral.